This 96-nucleotide signal recognition particle RNA is filed under the name Kordiimonadaceae bacterium. RNAcentral's name for it is "signal recognition particle sRNA small type". It matches the Rfam family "Bacterial small signal recognition particle RNA". From Rfam's summary of the family: The signal recognition particle (SRP) is a universally conserved ribonucleoprotein involved in the co-translational targeting of proteins to membranes. Archaeal SRP consists of a 7S RNA and homologues of the eukaryotic SRP19 and SRP54 proteins. In most bacteria, the SRP consists of a 4.5S RNA and the Ffh protein (a homologue of the eukaryotic SRP54 protein). Lineage: Bacteria; Pseudomonadati; Pseudomonadota; Alphaproteobacteria; Kordiimonadales; Kordiimonadaceae. The record is from RNAcentral.
CGCGAGAGGUUGGCGGACAGUUUACUCGCCAAUCCGGCCAGGCCUGGAAGGGAGCAACCGUAACGAGAUCACUGGGUCGUUCAAUCUCUCACUUUU